GACGAACGCUGGCGGCGUGCUUAACACAUGCAAGUCGAACGGAAAGACCCUGCUUUUGUGCGGUGCUCGAGUGCCGAACGCGUGAGUAACACGUGUGUAACCUGCCCUUGUCUUUGGGAUAACUUCAGGAAACUGGGGCUCAUACCGGAUAGGAGCUCCUGCUCCAUGGUGGGGGUUGGAAAGUUUCGGCGGUUGGGGAUGGAUUAGCGGCUUAUCAGCUUGUUGGUGGGGUAGUGGCUUACCAAGUCUUUGACGGGUAGCCGGCCUGGGAGGGGGACCGGGGACAUGGGGACUGAGAGACGGAGCAGACUCGUACGGGAGGCAGUGGGGGGGAGUAUGACACAGUGGGCGCAAGCCUGAUGCAGCAACGCUGGGUGCGUGAUGACGGCCUUCGGGUUGUAAACCGCUUUCGCCUGAGACGAAGCGUGAGUGACGGUAAUGGGUAAAGAAGCACCGGCUAACUACGUG
Molecule: ribosomal RNA, 468 nt
Filed under: uncultured bacterium
Lineage: Bacteria
Description: partial 16S ribosomal RNA
Rfam family: Bacterial small subunit ribosomal RNA
Source: RNAcentral